This 164-nucleotide ribosomal RNA is filed under the name Tricholepis tibetica. RNAcentral describes it as "5.8S ribosomal RNA". It matches the Rfam family "5.8S ribosomal RNA". Rfam says of the family: 5.8S ribosomal RNA (5.8S rRNA) is a component of the large subunit of the eukaryotic ribosome. The record is from RNAcentral. Lineage: Eukaryota; Viridiplantae; Streptophyta; Magnoliopsida; Asterales; Asteraceae.
AAACGACUCUCGGCAACGGAUAUCUCGGCUCACGCAUCGAUGAAGAACGUAGCAAAAUGCGAUACUUGGUGUGAAUUGCAGAAUCCCGUGAACCAUCGAGUUUUUGAACGCAAGUUGCGCCCAAAGCCAUUCGGCCAAGGGCACGUCUGCCUGGGCGUCACGCA